CUCUGGUGUACCUGUCGUUCCGCCAGGAGCGCAGCAGGGUAGCUAUGCAUGGACGGGAUAACCGCUGAAAGCAUCUAAGCGGGAAGCCUCCCUCAAGAUAAGGUAUCAUAGAGUCGUGGUAGACCACCACGUUGAUAGGCCGGGUGUGGAAGUGCGGUAACGCAUGAAGCUAACCGGUCCUAAUAACUCUGUUCAUGCUUGA
RNAcentral lists this ribosomal RNA (202 nucleotides) under Novosphingobium sp. 12-62-10. RNAcentral describes it as "partial 23S ribosomal RNA". It matches the Rfam family "Bacterial large subunit ribosomal RNA", at positions 2707 to 2925 of the family's 2925-position model. Lineage: Bacteria; Pseudomonadati; Pseudomonadota; Alphaproteobacteria; Sphingomonadales; Sphingomonadaceae. The record is from RNAcentral.